AUACGGAGGGUGCAAGCGUUGUUCGGAAUUACUGGGCGUAAAGCGCGCGUAGGUGGUCUGUUAUGUCAGAUGUGAAAGUCCACGGCUCAACCGUGGAAGUGCAUUUGAAACUGGCAGACUUGAGUACUGGAGGGGGUAGUGGAAUUCCCGGUGUAGAGGUGAAAUUCGUAGAUAUCGGGAGGAAUACCGGUGGCGAAGGCGACUACCUGGCCAGAUACUGACACUGAGGUGCGAAAGCGUGGGGAGCGAACAGGAUUAGAAACCCGGGUAGUCC
This 274-nucleotide ribosomal RNA is filed under the name uncultured bacterium. Its description in RNAcentral is "partial 16S ribosomal RNA". It matches the Rfam family "Bacterial small subunit ribosomal RNA", at positions 523 to 796 of the family's 1533-position model. The record is from RNAcentral.